This 424-nucleotide ribosomal RNA is filed under the name uncultured Methylocystis sp. RNAcentral's name for it is "bacterial SSU rRNA". It matches the Rfam family "Bacterial small subunit ribosomal RNA", at positions 39 to 510 of the family's 1533-position model. The record is from RNAcentral. Lineage: Bacteria; Pseudomonadati; Pseudomonadota; Alphaproteobacteria; Hyphomicrobiales; Methylocystaceae.
GCGGCAGGCCUAACACAUGCAAGUCGAACGCUGUAGCAAUACAGAGUGGCAGACGGGUGAGUAACGCGUGGGAACAUGCCCUUCGGUUCGGAAUAACUCAGGGAAACUUGAGCUAAUACCGGAUACGCCCUUAGGGGGAAAGAUUUAUUGCCGAAGGAUUGGCCCGCGUCCGAUUAGCUAGUUGGUGAGGUAAUGGCUCACCAAGGCGACGAUCGGUAGCUGGUCUGAGAGGAUGAUCAGCCACACUGGGACUGAGACACGGCCCAGACUCCUACGGGAGGCAGCAGUGGGGAAUAUUGGACAAUGGGCGCAAGCCUGAUCCAGCCAUGCCGCGUGAGUGAUGAAGGCCCUAGGGUUGUAAAGCUCUUUCGCCAGGGACGAUAAUGACGGUACCUGGAUAAGAACCCCGGCUAACUUCGUGCCA